RNAcentral lists this ribosomal RNA (1202 nucleotides) under uncultured organism. RNAcentral's name for it is "partial small subunit ribosomal RNA". It matches the Rfam family "Bacterial small subunit ribosomal RNA", at positions 43 to 1241 of the family's 1533-position model. The record is from RNAcentral.
CAGGCUUAACACAUGCAAGUCGAGGGGCAUCAUGGUCUUUGCUUGCUAAGGCCGAGGGCGACCGGCGCACGGGUGAGUAACACGUAUCCAACCUGCCGUCUACUCUUGGACAGCCUUCUGAAAGGAAGAUUAAUACAAGAUGGCAUCGUGACUCCGCAUGUUCACAUGAUUAAAGGUAUUCCGGUAGACGAUGGGGAUGCUUUCCAUUAGAUAGAAGGCGGGGUAACGGCCCACCUAAUCUUCGAUGGAUAGGGGUUCUGAGAGGAACGUCCCCACAUUGAAACUGAGACCCUGCCCAUACUCCUACGGGAGGCAGCAAAGAGGAAUAUUGGUCAAUGGACGAUAGCCUGAACCAUCCGAGUACCGAGAAGGAUGACUGCCCUAUGGGUUGUAAACUUCUUUUAUAAAGGAAUAAAGUCGGGUAUGGAUACCCGUUUGCAUGUACUUUAUGAAUAAGGACCGGCUAACUCCGUGCCAACAACCGCGGUAAUACUGAGGAUCCGAGCGUUAUCCGGAUUUAUUGUAUUUAAAGGUAACGUAAAUGGAUAUUUAACUCAUCUGUGAAGGUUUGCAGCUCGUCCGUAUAAUUGCAUGUGAUACUGAAUAUCUUGACUGCAGUUGAGGCAAGCGGAAUUCAUGGUGUAGCGGUGAAAUGCUUAGAUAUCACCUAAAACUCCGAUUGCGAACGCAGCCUGCUAAGCUGCAGCUGACAUUGAGGAUCGAAAGUGUGGGUAUCAAACAGGAUUAGAUACCGUGGUAGUUCACUCGGUAAACGAUGAAUUCUCGCUGUAUGCGAUAUGCUGCAAGCGUACAAGAUAAAGCGUUAAGUAUUGCACGUGGGGAGUACGCUGGCAACGGUGAAAGUCAAAGGAAUCGACGGGGGGCGGCACAAGCGGAGGAACAUGUGGUUUAAUUAGAUGAUACGCGAGGAGCCUUAUUCGGGAUUAAAUAGCAGAUGAAUUGCGUUGAAAGCGGUAAGCCGCAAGGCAUCUGUGAAGGUGCUGCAUGGUGGUCGUCAGCUGGUACCGUGAGGUGUGGGCUUAAGUGACAUAACGAGCGCAACCAUUGUUGUCAGUUUAUAACAGGUUUUGAUGAGGUCUUUGACAAGAUGACCAUGGUAAGAUGUGAGGAAGGUGGGGAUGAUGUCAAAUCAGCUCGGCCGGUAUGUCCGGGGGUUCCCAUGUGUUGCAAUGGGGGGUACA